CACUAGUUGUUUGUUUUGAGCUGGCGAUACAUUUUUUAAAGUUUUUGUGUUUAUUACAUGUCUAGUUUAUUGGUCUCUGAUUACAUGUUUUUGAAUUAUUUAAAAUAUUUAAAUAUAAAGAAGAUGAGUGAAAUGAUACCUUAUAAUAGUUUCAAGUGUGUGAAAGUUUGAUAGCCGAGAAGAAAGUAAAUUUGUUAGGUUAUAAUGAAAAACAACAACAUUCAACAAGCUGGCGAGAGGCGCGAAAUGUACUCCUGAGUUGAAGAACCUUAUAAGAUGGUGGGUGACAUUUGGAAUACUGUGUGGUGCUACAUUUGUGACUAGAUUUUACAAAGUUUUGGAACCGGACCAUGUUUGAUGCUGAUAGCUUUGUCUGGAGAGUUAACAGGCUAUGAUGGGUCAUUCCCAUUUGAGAAACCGGGUGAUAAAUAUGGAGGUGACAAGUACCAGGGAAUGAGAUUUGAUGGGAUUGGAGAAGCGAACAACGUGUGGAAGAUCGUGAUAUCGGGCGGCAGGGACGGCUACGAGGUGCAGACUGUUAAGAGCAAACUCAUACUGGUGCACUAUUUACAGUGCCAAAAGUAAGUUUUGAGGCGUACGCGUCGGGUUUUGUAGAACGAUUCUUCGAAUCCCACGCGGUAAUGUUUCAAGGCAACACUGGACUCAAACCCAAGGAGGGGGAGGUCACCUCGCAGCCUUGGCAAUGGCCUAUCAACUAUAGGGCAUCCUCACAGAAUACCUUCUGAGCAGUAUCAGGAGUUACCUCAGCGCGGAGAUCGGCAAGACAGCUUACCACUGCAUCUUAGGACUGAUAAUGUCUACGACGGUGUACAGUUUCUAUUUAUUUUCCCCGUUGGCGUACGGCAUGAACGGGCCGCUAGCCAACGAGCCGAACUCCACCAUGGCUGGGUUGAAAUGGCUCGACUCUUGGGAGUUUUGAGCAUGGGCGCCGCCAAAAUUACUUUUAGGGAGGUGCUUCUGCAUAAGGAGGGUACCACAUUAGUAUUUUUUUUUCAAAUAAAUAUCGCGCCGGUAUUUGCAUAUGCUAAACCAUUCCCAUUGUCAUUCAGUUAUGUUUAUUGGGACUUGCUCCAGACAGGUGCACCUCCUUGCACCCACUCCUCGCGCCGCCCAUGGUUUUGAGUCUCGUUGACUAAAAAUAUGUUUCUAUAUUUCUUUAUAAGUUAAAGGGCGAUUUUAAUCUCUGUCACUGUGAUGCUAAUAUCAAAAUUUUAUUGUGUCCGAUUGAUUGUACUUCGAGUCUUUAUUAUGGUACUGGAAUAAAUAUUAUAAGAAUUUUAUGAAUACUAUGAUGCUAGUUUAUGAUAUCAUCAAUUGACGAUAUUGUUUAUGAUAUAGAAAAUAUUUUACAUUGCUUUAUAAUUAUAUUUUUUACGCUGUUUUUCCUGCUUUUCUUUUAUAUUGCAAAUACUCAUUUACAACUUCUAGCUAAUAAUUCAUUCAAGAUUAUAUUCAUUCAUAAAUUAUAUGAAUUUCUAGGUAAUUUAUACUUAGUUUUAUCAAUUUGCUGAUAAUGCGUAAUCGAUUACAGACAAAAUCUAUAUGAUAAGUUUGGAUUAAAUAAAAAUGUGUACAAAACAAAAUUAUCAAUGAAAAGAUAAAAUAUACUCAAUGAAUUCCGUCCUUAAUUAUUAUAUUUAUCUAAAUUGUAAGGGAAAUAAAAUAUUUAUAAUUUGGUGUAGGUGUAGAAUAAAAUGUAGUAUUAUAACUAAUUUAACGUCAACAAUGCCGUCCAAUUGUAAUUUAUUUUGAUUUUAAUUUAUAUUAUAAACGGCACGACUCAUGCGCACAAAUGAACAAUGGUAGAGCGAGAUAGCGUAUGUACAAAUUGAAUGAAAAUGUUUAUUAAUAGUUGCAUGACUAGCCAAUAGACAGCUUCGGUCGAGAAGCCAGUCGCGCGAAACAUUACCGCGUCGGGCGCUGAACCAACCAAUCACAACUGUGCUUUCUACUCGUGCCUCUAUAGAACACAAACUUUUGUGUCAUAGUUAUGCUCACAUAUUUUUGUAUAUUGAAGAUUUUAAUAAAAGUUUUGUAAUAA
This 2062-nucleotide small RNA is filed under the name Manduca sexta (tobacco hornworm). RNAcentral describes it as "uncharacterized LOC115450502, transcript variant X1". The record is from RNAcentral. Lineage: Eukaryota; Metazoa; Arthropoda; Insecta; Lepidoptera; Sphingidae.